This 1438-nucleotide ribosomal RNA is filed under the name uncultured organism. RNAcentral's name for it is "16S ribosomal RNA". It matches the Rfam family "Bacterial small subunit ribosomal RNA". The record is from RNAcentral.
CGCUGUCGGCGUGCUUAACACAUGCAAGUCGAACGGAAAGGCCCUGCUUUUGUGGGGUGCUCGAGUGGCGAACGGGUGAGUAACGCGUGAGUAACCUGCCCUUGACUUUGGGAUAACUUCAGGAAACUGGGGCUAAUACCGGAUAGGAGCUCCUGCUGCAUGGUGGGGGUUGGAAAGUUUCGGCGGUUGGGGAUGGACUCGCGGCUUAUCAGCUUGUUGGUGGGGUAGUGGCUUACCAAGGCUUUGACGGGUAGCCGGCCUGAGAGGGUGACCGGCCACAUUGGGACUGAGAUACGGCCCAGACUCCUACGGGAGGCAGCAGUGGGGAAUAUUGCACAAUGGGCGGAAGCCUGAUGCAGCAACGCCGCGUGCGGGAUGACGGCCUUCGGGUUGUAAACCGCUUUCGCCUGUGACGAAGCGUGAGUGACGGUAAUGGGUAAAGAAGCACCGGCUAACUACGUGCCAGCAGCCGCGGUGAUACGUAGGGUGCGAGCGUUGUCCGGAUUUAUUGGGCGUAAAGGGCUCGUAGGUGGUUGAUCGCGUCGGAAGUGUAAUCUUGGGGCUUAACCCUGAGCGUGCUUUCGAUACGGGUUGACUUGAGGAAGGUAGGGGAGAAUGGAAUUCCUGGUGGAGCGGUGGAAUGCGCAGAUAUCAGGAGGAACACCAGUGGCGAAGGCGGUUCUCUGGGCCUUUCCUGACGCUGAGGAGCGAAAGCGUGGGGAGCGAACAGGCUUAGAUACCCUGGUAGUCCACGCUGUAAACGGUGGGUACUAGGUGUGGGGUCCAUUCCACGGGUUCCGUGCCGUAGCUAACGCUUUAAGUACCCCGCCUGGGGAGUACGGCCGCAAGGCUAAAACUCAAAGGAAUUGACGGGGCCCCGCACAAGCGGCGGAGCAUGCGGAUUAAUUCGAUGCAACGCGUAGAACCUUACCUGGGUUUGACAUGGAUCGGGAGUGCUCAGAGAUGGGUGUGCCUCUUUUGGGGUCGGUUCACAGGUGGUGCAUGGCUGUCGUCAGCUCGUGUCGUGAGAUGUUGGGUUAAGUUCCGCAACGAGCGCAACCCUUGUUCACUGUUGCCAGCACGUUAUGGUGGGGACUCAGUGGAGACCGCCGGGGUCAACUCGGAGGAAGGUGGGGAUGACGUCAAGUCAUCAUGCCCCUUAUGUCCAGGGCUUCACGCAUGCUACAAUGGCUGGUACAGAGAGUGGCGAGCCUGUGAGGGUGAGCGAAUCUCGGAAAGCCGGUCCCAGUUCGGAUUGGGGUCUGCAACUCGACCUCAUGAAGUCGGAGUCGCUAGUAAUCGCAGAUCAGCAACGCUGCGGUGAAUACGUUCCCGGGGCUUGUACACACCGCCCGUCAAGUCAUGAAAGUUGGUAACACCCGAAGCCGGUGGCCUAACCGUUGUGGGGGAGCCGUCGAAGGUGGGACUGGUGAUUAGG